Molecule: ribosomal RNA, 492 nt
Filed under: uncultured bacterium
Lineage: Bacteria
Description: partial 16S ribosomal RNA
Rfam family: Bacterial small subunit ribosomal RNA
Source: RNAcentral
AGUGAACGCUGGCGGUAGGCCUAACACAUGCAAGUCGAACGGCAGCACAGUAAGAGCUUGCUCUUACGGGUGGCGAGUGGCGGACGGGUGAGGAAUACAUCGGACUCUACUUUUUCGUGGGGGAUAACGUAGGGAAACUUACGCUAAUACCGCAUACGACCUACGGGUGAAAGCAGGGGAUCUUCGGACCUUGCGCGAUUGAAUGAGCCGAUGUCGGAUUAGCUAGUUGGCGGGGUAAAGGCCCACCAAGGCGACGAUCCGUAGCUGGUCUGAGAGGAUGAUCAGCCACACUGGAACUGAGACACGGUCCAGACUCCUACGGGAGGCAGCAGUGGGGAAUAUUGGACAAUGGGCGCAAUCCUGACCCAGCCAUACCGCGUGGGUGAAGAAGGCCUUCGGGUUGUAAAGCCCUUUUGUUGGGAAAGAAAAGCAGCAGGUUAAUACCCCGCUGUUCUGACGGUACCCAAAGAAUAAGCACCGGCUAACUUCGUG